RNAcentral lists this ribosomal RNA (429 nucleotides) under Chloroflexota bacterium. RNAcentral's name for it is "Chloroflexi bacterium partial 16S ribosomal RNA". It matches the Rfam family "Bacterial small subunit ribosomal RNA", at positions 355 to 776 of the family's 1533-position model. The record is from RNAcentral. Lineage: Bacteria; Bacillati; Chloroflexota.
UGGGGAAUAUUGCACAAUGGGCGCAAGCCUGAUGCAGCCAUGCCGCGUGUAUGAAGAAGGCCUUCGGGUUGUAAAGUACUUUCAGUCGGGAGGAAGGUGGUAAGGUUAAUAACUUUAUCAAUUGCCGUUACCGAAAGAAGAAGCACCGGCUAAUUCGGUGCCGGCAGCCGCGGUAAUACGGAGGGUGCAGGCGUUAAUCGGAAUUACUGGGCGUAAAGCGCACGCAGGCGGUUGAUUGAGUCAGAUGUGAAAUCCCCGGGCUUAACCCGGGAAUUGCAUCUGAUACUGGUCAGCUAGAGUCUUGUAGAGGGGGGUAGAAUUCCAUGUGUAGCGGUGAAAUGCGUAGAGAUGUGGAGGAAUACCGGUGGCGAAGGCGGCCCCCUGGACAAAGACUGACGCUCAGGUGCGAAAGCGUGGGGAGCAAACAGG